GUUCUGAGAGAGAAAGGACACUCAAAGCAUCACUUACUGAUUGAUCCCCACCUGAGAGAAGGCUCAGUGAGACAGAGAGCAGCAGCAUGAGUGAGAGCAGUGACAGAGGGUGCAGCAGUUCCAGUUCCCUUCACACAGAUCUCUCCAACCUUGUGAUCUGGGCACACACUCAUGGCACCAUAUGCAACCAGAUCCCAGGCCUGGAAUUCAUGGAGAACGCAGAUCAUGAUGUGAGCAGUGACAACGCUGUGCUGUGGAUGUGCAGAGCUGGACAUGCCUACCACUGGCACUGUGGGAAGUCACACAACACAGGUGAAGAAGCGCCUGAGGCUCUAGGAGGGAGAAAGAGGCUCUUGCCUUCUGAAUCUUUGGCAAGGGAAUCCAGCUUUAAAGAAAAGAGGCUCAGGCUGGCCCCAUCAUCUUUUGAGAUGGACCAAGAAGAUUCUGGGAGCACAGAGUCAUGUGGCAGAUCCCAAGGGGUCGCUGAGCAGAAGGCUGGCAGUCCCUACACAAGGAAUAAGGAGCCCAAGGGGAGUCAAAAUAGCAGGAAACACAAAUUCUCUGCAGCAGAGCAGCACUUCUCUGAGUCUGGUAGUAGAGUCCAGACUGGUGAGCAGCAUGUGAAGUCCAAAACGUACAAAGAUGCAGAGAUCAUUAUCUCUGAUGACGAGCAGUGUGAGGCAGAUGAAGACAGCAAAGGAGACAGAACCAGCCAGGAUAAUGUGUCAGAGCCAUCUGCUGAGAAGUUGCAGAUGCAACACUGCCAGAAGAUGGCAUUGCACCAGCCAACAGCCUCCCCAAAAACUGCCUUUGCCCCCACAGCAAAGCCAUCCCUGGCCCGUGCCUACAUUCUGCCGGCUCAUGUCAGCAGCUCAGAGGAUCUGAACAGGAACAUCCUGAGGCUGGCUCCUUCCACUGCUGCAGGGCCCGUGGCUGAAACUUCCAGAGCAAGGAGCCUCCCGGGGUCAGCAGCACCAAAGGUAUGUCCCAAACCCCUUCCUGUCCCCAGCACUGAAGCCGAGGCCCAGCUUGAAUCCCAGCCCUCAGUGAUGUUCUUUGAGCUCCAAGCCACUACUGCUGCUCAGCAACAUCUCCAGCUGAGCCCUUCACAGUGUGGCACACUGGGAAUGGGCUCCAGUGGGGAUGGUGCUGAGAACGUGGGUGAGAACAGUGACACAUCAGGAUCUGAGCAGGAACCUUCUUCUUCAGCCUUCCAGAGUCCAGAGGGACAUCCACCUGCAGCCUCAAAUGGAGGUAAGGCAGCGUGGAGUUGUGUGCUUGCAGGGCUGUGGGGGUGUUCCAUUAAUCACUUUCCCAAAAUAUCCAAGGAGGGUGAGUUCACAUCACUGCCAAGAUCUGUUUACUGCAGCAUCCAAGGAAAUCUCUUGGAUUUGGGGCACUCCUGUUUCUGCUUGAGGGGACUACAAAGCUCCUUGCCUAAAGGAAUUGGUGCUUUUGUAGGGAAUGCCCUUCUCUGGGGUACCCAAAGGUGUUCUUGGCUGUGGCCCAGUCCCAACAUCCCAGUUUGGAUACUUUGGUCUUCCAUUUUACCCAGUACCCCCACACAGUAUGUUGGCUGUACUUGAGAGAGUUCCUGUGGGGAAACUGGAGCUAGAGCAGGGAAUUCAGGUCUGAAGAGAAAGAAACGAGAGGAAAUAAUGCAGAGAAAUUGUGGCCAGAGCUCUUUCUGCACCAAGGCCAGUGGCAAAACCUCCCAGUGCUAGCAGAAUGUCAGUCCUGCAUAGGAGGUGCAGGGCUCCACACAUUGCUUUAGCCCUUUCAAUAAUUAAGAUUUUUGUAUGUGCUGUCCUGCAGCACAGGGGCUGGGCAUGUCCUUGUGAAGGGCAGAGGUGCUGAGGCAGCAUUUGGGGUCUGCCUGGGAUGUGCUUGGCCUUGAAAAGGCUUAGGGGUUGUUGUUCCUUGUGGAGCCAUAACCACACAAACUGCCACAGUUGGGGUUGGGGAGCAGUAUUUGACUAUUUUCAUAACUGACAUCAUGUGUCAUGUGAAGGGACUGGGAAUUCUUCUGGGAAUGCCUGUAGUAGCUGUUUCUGCCAAGGUAACUGGCUCAUGGCUCAGAGGAGGCCUCAGCAUGAUUGAUUCAUGAGCUGUUCCUCUCUGCACCUGGAGCAGCCAGCGCAAAACAGGCCAAAACCCCAAAAAACUGGGACAGCCAUCAGUCUUUCAGGAUGGCAACAAAACCUAUAAAAAAGAACCUGGUGCAAAAAAGGGUUCUAGGUGUUGGCUUUUCCAUCACCCCAUCCUCAGCCCUGGCCGAGUCACAGGCGAGCAGAUGGAGCUUUCCAGCAAUCCAAAGAAUUCAUUUCUCAUGCUACAUCGAGCUAGGUGGAUGUGGGAUUGCCAUGGCAACUUGAGAGAGAGCCCAACUGCAAUCCUGGCAGUCCUUUAAACAAAAUCAUAGUAGACUUUUACUCACCUGUUUGUUCUCCCCCACCAUCCACCCCAACCUUUGGUUCAUGAAAGGGAAGUGUCCCUGUGUGGCAAUGAGCAGGGCCAGCUGCCAAGGGAGAAGGACCCAACUUUCCCUGGAUAGCUGGGCACUGUCGAGUUGUGCUGUUUGUGGAGAGAACAAAUAUGACCUACAGUUCUAGAGGAAGGGGUUUGGGAGAGUCCUGUCCUCUCUGAAUGGCUUCCAGAAAGCAGAGAUAGACACUAUCCUUUAUCUCCUUGUGUUUUCCUGAUCUUUGUGGAUUCUCCCUGUCCACAAAACUAUAUCUUUUCUUUUAGAUGCGCUGAAGAAGCAGGAGAAAAAGAAAAGCAAUACCAUGGGACACAUAAAAGUGUUUGAAGAGUGGCUGAAGGGGCACUACCCCUCCGAGACACGCGAGAUCCACAGGCUGCCUCCCGCAGACCUCGACCAGUACCUGGUGUCCUUCUUCAGCUGUACCAAAAAACAGAAUGGCAAGGAGUUUUCUGCCAGUUCCUUAAACAUCUUCAGGUACAGCAUCAACAGGUACCUCCAGGAGCACCACUACCAGUACAGCAUAUUGAGAGGGCCAGAGUUCAAGGCCUCUCAGGAAGCCUAUAAAUUAAAAUAUCGGCACUUGUUUCAAACCAAGGAGUUACAGUGCAAUGCUGUGGAGAGCCUGACAAGUGAAGAUGUGGAAAAUCUUCUUAAGAAGGGAAUUUUAAGCAAGACAAACCCUCAGGGCUUGUUGUACCUCAUGUUCACCAACCUCAUUAGGGGGUUUGGGGCAAAGACCCACUACCAGGCCCACCAGCUGUGUUGGGGACAGGUGGUGCUGAGGAAGAGCAGAGGGGUGGAGUACUUGGAGUGGAAGGAUGAUCUGAGCCCCGAGGGAAAUGAAGGGGAGCCAAACCCACUGCUCUUUGCCAAGCCUGAGGAUCCAGAGAACUGCCCGGUCUCCAGUUACAAGGAGUAUGCCAGGAGGAGGCCAGCAGACAUGCUGGAUGACACCCACCCUCUUUACCUGUCUCCCGUGCCACUGUACUCUGUCUGGGACAAAGUGUGGUACAUCAGAAAGCCACUGUCAAAAGCCAAAAUUAAUAAUAUCUUGAAAGUUAUUAUGCAGGAAGUCAGAGGAGCAGUAAAGAAGACCAGGAAAUAGGGGUGUCCCUUCAGCUUUGCCCUUCAACCACUCCAAGGCUGCUCUGAAACACAAUCCUACUGCAAUAUUUGGUGUAGGUUGAGAGCAGACAUCCUUCUGCUGAGCUUCACCUUGGCACUGAAGGUACCUACACAUCUGCAGUGCCUUGGCUUUCAGGGAAGUUCUUUUAUUGUUGUUUCUGUUACUGGAAUUGAUAAUUCAGUGAGUUAAUGAGAGUCUUCAGUUUCACAUUUGCCAAACGAGUUAAUGUUCUACCACAUUGUCAAUGCUGUUAGAAACCACCACUGCUGACACACAGAGGGCUUGGGGGUGGCAGGGCCUGGCCAGGAGUGCCAGCUGCACCCACAUUUUAAGGUGACACCCCACAAGCUCAGCCUGUGGGGAAGGAUGAGCAGCAGGACAAUGAUGGUGCUGCCAAUCCCAACCGUGCAGGAACACUUCUGGCAAGGUUCAGGUAAUUUCCCUUAGGGAAAGAUUUGUAGAUUGAAGAAGUUGUGGCUGUUCUAAGAAGUUAUUUAAAGUGUCUGACAAUGUUGAAAGGUUUUAUGGUAAGUGGUUUCCCUGGAGUGCAAAACACAGCUCCACAAAGGCACUGGGAGGUGUGCUCAGCUCCGCUCACUGCCCCAGCUCAGGCAGGUUUUUGGUUGCAUUGUUGGCCGAGCCAAAUAAAAGAGCCUUUAAUUCAGUCCUGUCUGUCUGU
Molecule: long non-coding RNA, 4290 nt
Organism: Zonotrichia albicollis (white-throated sparrow)
Lineage: Eukaryota; Metazoa; Chordata; Aves; Passeriformes; Passerellidae
Source: Ensembl